AGUGAACGCUGGCGGUAGGCCUAACACAUGCAAGUCGAACGGCAGCACAGUAAGAGCUUGCUCUUACGGGUGGCGAGUGGCGGACGGGUGAGGAAUACAUCGGAAUCUACUUUUUCGUGGGGGAUAACGUAGGGAAACUUACGCUAAUACCGCAUACGACCUACGGGUGAAAGCAGGGGAUCUUCGGACCUUGCGCGAUUGAAUGAGCCGAUGUCGGUUUAGCUAGUUGGCGGGGUAAAGGCCCACCAAGGCGACGAUCCGUAGCUGGUCUGAGAGGAUGAUCAGCCACACUGGAACUGAGACACGGUCCAGACUCCUACGGGAGGCAGCAGUGGGGAAUAUUGGACAAUGGGCGCAAGCCUGAUCCAGCCAUACCGCGUGGGUGAAGAAGGCCUUCGGGUUGUAAAGCCCUUUUGUUGGGAAAGAAAGGCAGCAGGUUAAUACCCCGCUGUUCUGACGGUACCCAAAGAAUAAGCACCGGCUAACUUCGUG
Molecule: ribosomal RNA, 492 nt
Filed under: uncultured bacterium
Lineage: Bacteria
Description: partial 16S ribosomal RNA
Rfam family: Bacterial small subunit ribosomal RNA
Source: RNAcentral